GAGAACGUGGUGUAAGUGGAUAACAUCUCAGAUUACGAAUCUGAAGAUUGUAGGUUCAAGUCCUACCGUUCUCG
Molecule: transfer RNA, 74 nt
Filed under: Richelia sp. RM1_1_1
Lineage: Bacteria; Bacillati; Cyanobacteriota; Cyanophyceae; Nostocales; Nostocaceae
Also listed under: 4 other names
Description: tRNA-Arg
Rfam family: tRNA
About the family: Transfer RNA (tRNA) molecules are approximately 80 nucleotides in length. Their secondary structure includes four short double-helical elements and three loops (D, anti-codon, and T loops).
Source: RNAcentral